GAUGAACGCUGGCGGCGUGCCUAAUACAUGCAAGUCGAGCGAACAGACGAGGUACUUGCUCCUCUGACGUUAGCGGCGGACGGGUGAGUAACACGUGGAUAACCUACCUAUAAGACUGGGAUAACUUCGGGAAACCGGAGCUAAUACCGGAUAAUAUAUUUAACCGCAUGGUUUAAUAGUGAAAGACGGUUUUGCUGUCACUUAUAGAUGUCUCCGGGCCGCAUUGGCUAGUUGGUAGGGUAACGGCUUACAAAGGGAACGAUGAUUACCCGACUGGGAGGGGUGACCGCCCAAACUGGAACUGAGACACGGUCAAGACUCCUAGGGGAGGCAGCAGUAGGGAAUCUUCCGCAAUGGGCGAAAGCCGGACGGAGCAACGCCGCGUGAGUGAUGAAGGUCUUCGAAUCGUAAAACUCUGUUAUUAGGGAGGAACAAAUGUGUAAGUAACUAUGCACGUCUUGACGGUACCUAAUCAGAAAGCCACGGCUAACUACGUG
Molecule: ribosomal RNA, 497 nt
Filed under: uncultured bacterium
Lineage: Bacteria
Description: partial 16S ribosomal RNA
Rfam family: Bacterial small subunit ribosomal RNA
Source: RNAcentral